GACGAACGCUGGCGGCGUGCUUAACACAUGCAAGUCGAACGGAAAGGCCCUGCUUUUGUGGGGUGCUCGAGUGGCGAACGGGUGAGUAACACGUGAGUAACCUGCCCUUGACUUUGGGAUAACUUCAGGAAACUGGGGCUAAUCCCGGAUAGGAUAUCCUGCAGCAUGGUGGGGGUGGGAAAGUUUAUGCGGUUGUGGAUGGACUCGCGGCUUAUCAGCUUGUUGGUGGGGUAGUGGCUUACCAAGGCAUUGACGGGUAGCCGGCCUGAGAGGGUGAACGGCCACAGUGCGACUGAGAUACGGCCCAGACUCCUACGUGAGGCAGCAGUGGGGAAUAUUGUACAAUGGGCGGAAGUCUGAUGCAGCAACGCCGCGGUCGGGAUGACGGCCUUCGGGUUGUAAACCGCUUUCGCCUGUGACGAAGCGUGAGUGACGGUAAUGGGUAAAGAAGCACCGGCUAACUACGUG
This 468-nucleotide ribosomal RNA is filed under the name uncultured bacterium. Its description in RNAcentral is "partial 16S ribosomal RNA". It matches the Rfam family "Bacterial small subunit ribosomal RNA", at positions 28 to 507 of the family's 1533-position model. The record is from RNAcentral.